This 517-nucleotide ribosomal RNA is filed under the name Neopisosoma dohenyi. Its description in RNAcentral is "partial 16S ribosomal RNA". It matches the Rfam family "Bacterial large subunit ribosomal RNA", at positions 1831 to 2597 of the family's 2925-position model. Lineage: Eukaryota; Metazoa; Arthropoda; Malacostraca; Decapoda; Porcellanidae. The record is from RNAcentral.
GUCUAUAUGAAGUUAAAUAAAGUCUAUUCUGCCCAUUGAAAUAAAUUUUUAAAAGGCCGCAGUAUCCUAACUGUGCAAAGGUAGCAUAAUCAUUAGUUUUUUAAUUGGAGGCUUGUAUGAACGAUUGGACAAGAGCUAAACUGUCUUUUUUCUAAGAAAGUUGAAUUUUAUUGUUAAGUGAAAAAGCUUAAAUGAAAAAGAGGGACGAUAAGACCCUAUAAAUCUUUAUCAGAAUUGAUUUUUUAAAAUAAAAUAUAUAAGUUAAGUAAAUUUAAAAAACUAAAUGAUUGUGCUGGGGCGGUGUAAAUGUUAAAAAAACUGUUUAAAAGAGAAACAAAUAUAAUUGAAAUUUAAAGAUCCUAAUUAUGGAAUAAAAGAGAAAGUUACUUUAGGGAUAACAGCAUAAUUUCUUUAGAGAGUUCUAAUCGAAAAAGAAGUUUGUGACCUCGAUGUUGAAUUAAGAAUUCCUUAUGGUGCAGCAGUUAUAAAGGAGAGUCUGUUCGACUUUUAAAUUCUU